RNAcentral lists this long non-coding RNA (339 nucleotides) under Elaeis guineensis (African oil palm). Its description in RNAcentral is "long non-coding RNA (EGUI_LNC059886)". Lineage: Eukaryota; Viridiplantae; Streptophyta; Magnoliopsida; Arecales; Arecaceae. The record is from RNAcentral.
CUAAGAUCUAAUUAGUAGAUCUUAAUAUCAAUUUAUUUUUAUGCUCUUUAAAUUUUUAUUCUUUAUUUUUAUUACAAGUAGAAGCUAAAAUUUAAAUAGUAGAUCUUAGUACUAAGUUUAUCUUUCUGCAUCGUUUAAUUUCUAUCUUCUGUUUACAAUAUCAUUUUUAAAAUUUUUUUUAUAAAAAUCAAAGUUAUCAAAUCAAAGUACUAUCUUUUCUAUGGAUUUGAUCCGACUCGCUACUUUCUAUAUAUUUUUAAUUUUAAAAAAAAUCAAAUUUAAUUUGAUAAUCACGAAGUCCUAAUGACAAUAUCAUGACUCUAUCAAUUUUUAACACCA